GACGAACGCUGGCGGCGUGCUUAACACAUGCAAGUCGAACGGAAAGGCCCUGCUUUUGUGGGGUGCUCGAGUGGCGACCGGGUGAGUAACAAGUGAGUAACCUGCCCUUGACUUUGGGAUAACUUCAGGAAACUGCGGCUAAUACCGCAUAGGAGCUCCUACUGCAUGGUGUGGGUUGGAAAGUUUCGGCGGUUGGGUUUGGACUCGCGGCUUCUCAGCUUGUUGGUGGGGUAGUGGCUUACCAAGGCUUUGACGGGUAGCCGGCCUGAGAGGGUGACCGGCCACAUUGGGACUGAGAUACGGCGCAGACGCCUACGGGCGGCAGCGGUGGGGAAUAUUGCACAAUGGGCGGAGGCCUGAUGUAGCAACGCCGCGUGCGGGAUGACGGCCUUCGGGUUGUAAACCGCUUGCGCCUGUGACGAAGCGUGAGUGACGGUAAUGGGUAAAGAAGCACCGGCUAACUACGUG
RNAcentral lists this ribosomal RNA (468 nucleotides) under uncultured bacterium. RNAcentral's name for it is "partial 16S ribosomal RNA". It matches the Rfam family "Bacterial small subunit ribosomal RNA", at positions 28 to 507 of the family's 1533-position model. The record is from RNAcentral.